GUGAUCGCAAGUGAAAACGCAGUUUUCCCAACCACACAACGAACGGAGGACGGGCCACAGCCGCGGCGACGACCCGGGUUUCAUCAGAGUUGUUAAGUUCAGUAGAGUUUUGGUCGUUUCUUUUCGUUCUGGCGGAGGAAAAGUGUCACAUUAGCGUGCGAUUCCGUGAGAGAUUUGUCAACUCGUUUUGGGUGUGCACACGGGAGAUUUUCCUCGAUUUCUGAGAUAUUCUCGAAGAACUCGGCUUUUCGCGACAUUGUGCAAGAAGACUCGUCGGUUGGUCUCCGUCAGUCGAUAGUGAACCACGGCGAGUGUGAGAGGUUUUCUGCCCCCGUAGCGAGUUUGAAUUUCCCUGUGCGAGAAGCAAUUUCAACCGAUUUGAGACCGAUCGAUCGCUGAUCAUAUGCCACCCGAAUUCCCAAGGGUAGGAAAAUCCCGAUUGCUAAGAAGAGCGGAUGCGAAGAAGUUUUUCGGCCUUUGCGUGUGACAAGGAGCGUUCACAGAACGAAUAAGUGGGUUGCUACGCGUGUUUUCUGAGGAGGAUCACGAUUGUCUUUCCCUGCCUACUACGAUCUUCAACGAGGAGUAAAACGUGAGCAAAGUUUUGUUGCCCAACGCCUACCUAGACUGUGCUGCUCCUCCCCGAUUGUUCUACAAAACUGCCACCUACUCUGCCGCGAACCGUGAGGGUUACGAUGGAAACUGACGACCAAUUUCGUCAUUAUAUAAGUUUUUAUGACACGGUACUCAAAUUUUAAAUGACAAAAAGUUUACUCAACUGCGAUCGUUGUCCCGACAACUACGAGAAUCUAGUUGCAUUUUUAUAACCGAGACGACUGUUUUAGCCUUUUGGUUGUUCAACGGGGGAGGAAAACACUAACCAGAUGUGUGAAAAUGUGACCGAUUGGACGGGCUAGAGUCAAGUUUGUGCAGAAGUGAGAUUCGUACCGUACCAAACAUCACCGAAAUAAAUUUAGUCAAUUUGUAGAAAGUGGCUUCAAAGUGUUCUUAGAAGUGUGUUCACCUCUCUUGCAGGCAGCUAGAAGACACAGUUUUUGCGAGACAGUGAGGGAUCGAAGGGAGCGACGUCGAAUCAAGGAAAAGUCAACUCGGAAAGUAACCGUGAAAUGAGUCAGUGAGCGCGAGUGUAUGCGAAACAGUUUUCCACCAGCCCCAAAGAAGAGUACACAAAUUAUAAAUCUUGUUGCUGUUUCUAGAGUUGAAUAAUCGGCACAAAGUCAUCGUCGGACACGCAGAGAUGAGGUAGCUGCACCAGCAGGGGAAGUGAAGUGCGGUGAAGAUCAUCAUCUUCGCCGUCGUCAUCAUUAGCGACGACGGACGCGGAACGGGCGGAGACACAUAUCGCGAACGAUCAGACACAUUUCAAGAGUCUAGAGAGUUGCAUGUUGGUUUGCACUAGAAUCUAGCGCGAUCCACGGUGGAUUCACGAGAGGUGGGUGUGCGAGAUAAAAACGCGACGGUGGGGAUACCCCAUCGCAUCGUCAUUUAGGAGAAGUCGUUAGAAUCGGUGCGUGUCCGAAGUAGAAGAAGAAGACGAAAUCGUUAAGAAGAGCGCAAGAGUGAGAAGAUUUAGAUUGAAGUUUUGGUGAAUGCGGAGGAAAAACUGACAACGUGUGGAAAAUCUGCCAGCUUAACUAUGAAGCUGCGCUGAAUGCCGAACUAUGCAGGUACUCUGGAGACUGACGCGACACGGCGAAUAGAUGAUUCAUCGCAACUAGCGGAUAGAAUGAAAAUUCCCUGAGGAUAACAGAACCAGCAUCCAAAUAACUGCUGGGACUUGUUAAUGAAUCAAAGUUAGAAUUUAAGUUUUUUGUGAGUUUGCUACGAAUGUAUGAAUCUAUUUAAAGUGAAAUACGAAUCUCAACAAGUGAUUUACCCCCGAAAGUGUGCAAGUGAAUGUUCGUGUGGCACGUGUACCCCGUGCCGGAAGAAAUCAUGAAGAAAACAGCAGACAUGCAAUUUUGUAGGUCUACGAAGAAGUUUAAAUUAAUAUUGAAGAUCCAUUCGAAUCGUUAUCGAGAGGCACCUUAGAAAGGAAGAAUCGCAUCGGAAAGUAAGUGUCCAACCCCUCGGAACAAGUGGUGUGACAUUUUUUUUACGUCUGCAUACGAGCCCUCGGCGUUAACGAGUGUGGUCAGGUUUGGUCAAGAAGCGGUUGGUGCUUAGGACCUAGGCAGCAACCCCAACGCCCAAACACCGGACGCCAUGUACUUGCGCAAAUGGAGUCCUAUUAAAUAUCUCAUGUACUUAUGGCUAGCGAUUCUAGUGUGGAUAUUCUGUCGGUGUGAGAGUGCCGCUACAAUGCACCUGGCGCCAGCCUCCUCCUCUUCUUCCUUUCCCCAAUUCACGUUGUCAUACGCCAGUGGCACCAGAAGUAGUAGACCUAGUAGCAGCAGCAGCAGUAGUGGUAGUAGCAGUGAUAGUUUUAGUGCUAGUAGAAAUAGUAUAUCAGAGCUGUUUGCCAACAGAAACCACUACCGGGUGCCGGCAGCGAGUCCUACAAGUGAUACUAGUGAAUUAGUUGACUCCACGAGUCCUUACCAACGGCGGUCAUCACCGCAGCCAUCCACACCAGAAUCAACCAUCUCAUCACAACGGCAGUCGGCCGCCCCAUACCUUACCAAAUUAUUCAGCCAAGCUGCCAGUAGCGACUACCGACGGCCAUCCUCGCCAAAUUCGGGGGCCACUCCGCCCAGCUACCAUCAUCCACUAAAUUAUGCUAAUCGUGUGCUUAAGCCAAAUGCCAAAAGCCUUCCGCUACAACAACCGCAGCAGCAACUGCCGAAUCUGCCAGCUAGCCUAAGUCAAUCCAAUUCAAACUACGAUAAUCGCCAAGUUAAGAACAACUACUCCAGCAGUAGUAGUAUUAGUAAUACGAGUAUUAGUGCCGAAAGCGCCACCCUAGCCGAGAAACGAUUACAGCAACAAUGGAAGUUGCGAAUGAGCCAAAAGCGAGCACGACGUCUGGCUCACCGAAUGCAUUUGACCGAGCAACCAGAAGGAUUGGCCCUGGCGUCAACCAAUCGUAACCGACGGGAUUCGGUACGUGCUCCAUUGGCAAAUCCCCGACGAUCCGGAGGAGGCCCAGGUGGUGCCGGUCAAGCUCGCCGCUACUGCUCGGCACGGGACCCGGCCACGCUGGCCUUUGACGCACCCGUAGUCUUCGAGGGCAAAGUCAAAUCCAUGAGCAGCGAUCGAAGGGCCAACUUUUCGGUUACGUUCGAGAUCGUGCGGGUGCACAAGAAACAACCCAGAUAUCCGCUGGAGGUUUUCCAGCAGGUGCGAUUGCAGUUCUCCUUCCGGAACUACAGCGAGUGCGACAUCUACCGGGAAAUGUACCGCGAUCGGGGUAUCGUGCGCGAAGAACUCGAACAGGGAAAAGUGUACUUUCUGUUUGUGAGGCAGAUCGAUCUCAGCAACUUUACCAUCCUCGGGCAGCCGAUCCGGAAGAACAGACGUACCGCCAACGGCGUGAUGGAGGGGGUUAAGGAAAAUUAUGGUAAACCACCAAAAAUCUAUUCCAUUACGUCGAAUGUGACGCGACAAGAGGGCAAACGGGUGCGUCUGGUGUGUAAAGUGCAGGGAGAACCGCCACCCAAAGUCACGUGGUUCAAGGACAAGCGUUCCAUCAAUCGGAACGUGACGAAAUACGCUCAAGUUCACCUCAAAAAACGAUCCGAGCUCAUCAUUCAUUCGGUGAUUCCCAGUGAUGCUGGAGAGUACGAAUGCCGAGCUAAAAAUAAGUUCAACAAGAUUUCCAACUCGACGCACCUUCGAGUAACGGCCAAACAUUCGAGCACCAAGCAACCAAAAACGACACAUUCACCGGAACCUCCAUACAACCCGCGGCCCUGCAAGGGGCCGGGCGCAGAACACUUCUGUCUGAACGGUGGCACCUGUAUACACUUCGAGGAUCUCCAAGAGUGGGCAUGCACAUGUCCCAAAGGUUUCUCGGGCAACAAGUGCGAGAACAAAGCGAUCGACUACCACCCAACGACAUCCAGCAAGCACCAGGACUGCUCGUACGGUUAUGGAUAUGGAGCGAACAAGUGCAAAUAUGCAAUUUCCGACAAGUUGGCCUAAACUGCACGAAGCAAUCUAUAGGGUGCUGGUUCAGGGUAGUGGUGCCGCAGCCUAUUUCACUACACAGACAAGAAAGCAUCACUCGAACGAAAACAACAGAGGUCACCCGGAGUGUGCGGACUUCCUACUGAUGGACUCACCGGCAUUACCCGUAAUACCACCGAUGUACGAUUACGAUGACGACAGUGAAAUCUGAUCCACUCGCCGAAGUCACUGAACCGAUAUCCCAAUCCUUGGCGGACUGGGAAGACUGCGCCAUGUCGAAAGAAACGAGAUUUGAACCAAUCCAUCGUGAUACGGUGGAAGCGAUUAGAACGAAUGAUAUUUUUUGAAUUCUCAAGCCAAGAGAAUGAAACAGUCAAUGAUGAUAUUCCAUUUGUUUUAAGUGAUUGUGCAUAAUUUGUAAUGCAAUUUUGUCGACGGAACUAAUUGGAAAAACAGAAAAAAAAGUUGAAAAUACCAAAGAUGUAAAUAUCACUGUAGUAGUUGUAAUAAAUUAUUGACUUAUACUAACGUUGGUGUAAAUUUUCUAUACUAUAUGUGUUGAAAUAAAAACUCUACAAGCAUGA
Molecule: RNA transcript, 4673 nt
Organism: Armigeres subalbatus
Lineage: Eukaryota; Metazoa; Arthropoda; Insecta; Diptera; Culicidae
Gene: vn
Gene name: protein vein
Exons: 8
Source: RefSeq, a predicted model, not a curated record